GAUGAACGCUGGCGGCGUGCCUAAUACAUGCAAGUCGAGCGAACGGACGAGAAGCUUGCUUCUCUGAUGUUAGCGGCGGACGGGUGAGUAACACGUGGAUAACCUACCUAUAAGACUGGGAUAACUUCGGGAAACCGGAGCUAAUACCGGAUAAUAUUUUGAACCGCAUGGUUCAAAAGUGAAAGACGGUCUUGCUGUCACUUAUAGAUGGAUCCGCGCUGCAUUAGCUAGUUGGUAAGGUAACGGCUUACCAAGGCAACGAUGCAUAGCCGACCUGAGAGGGUGAUCGGCCACACUGGAACUGAGACACGGUCCAGACUCCUACGGGAGGCAGCAGUAGGGAAUCUUCCGCGAUGGGCGAAAGCCUGACGGAGCAACGCCGCGUGAGUGAUGAAGGUCUUCGGAUCGUAAAACUCUGUUAUUAGGGAAGAACAUAUGUGUAAGUAACUGUGCACAUCUCGACGGUACCUAAUCAGAAAGCCACGGCUAACUACGUG
RNAcentral lists this ribosomal RNA (497 nucleotides) under uncultured bacterium. RNAcentral's name for it is "partial 16S ribosomal RNA". It matches the Rfam family "Bacterial small subunit ribosomal RNA", at positions 28 to 507 of the family's 1533-position model. The record is from RNAcentral.